AGCUCCAAUAGCGUAUAUUUAAGUUGUUGCAGUUAAAAAGCUCGUAGUUGGAUUUCGGGUCCGGACGACCGGUCCGCCGUUUCGGUGUGCACUGGUCGGCCUGAUCUUUCUGUCGGGGACGCGCUCCUGGACUUCAUUGGCUGGGACGCGAAGUCGGCAAUGUUACUUUGAAAAAAUUAGAGUGUUCAAGGCAGGCUUACGCACGAAUACUUUAGCAUGGAAUAACACGAUAGGACUCCGAGCCUAUUUUGUUGGUCUUCGGGACCGGAGUAAUGAUUAAGAGGGACAGUUGGGGGCAUUCGUAUUUCAUUGUCAGAGGUGAAAUUCUUGGAUUUAUGAAAGACGAACUUCUGCGAAAGCAUUUGCCAAGGAUGUUUUCAUUAAUCAAGAACGAAAGUAG
This 400-nucleotide ribosomal RNA is filed under the name phytoplankton environmental sample. RNAcentral's name for it is "partial small subunit ribosomal RNA". It matches the Rfam family "Eukaryotic small subunit ribosomal RNA", at positions 587 to 992 of the family's 1831-position model. The record is from RNAcentral.